GAAGUAAUACAGAUGAUCGCGGCUGCAGCAAUGCAGGUGAGGAAAGUCCGGGCUUCACAGGGCAGGAUGCCGGAUAACGUCCGGUGGAGGUGACUCCAAGGAUAGUGCAACAGAAAUAUACCGCCGCUUUUGCGGUAAGGGUGGAAGGGUGGCUUAAGAGACCACCGCCUGCACGGUAACGGGCAGGGCACAUGUAAACCCCAUCCGAAGCAAGGCCAGAACGAAAGCUAUGGGUCGGCCCGGCCCGCUUUCAGGUAGGCUGCUUGAAGUGGCUGGCAACAGUCACUCUAGAUAGAUGAUCAUUCGCGACAUAACCCGGCUUAUCGUAUUGCUUCUUUU
RNAcentral lists this RNase P RNA (339 nucleotides) under Clostridiales bacterium. RNAcentral describes it as "RNase P RNA component class A". It matches the Rfam family "Bacterial RNase P class A". From Rfam's summary of the family: Ribonuclease P (RNase P) is a ubiquitous endoribonuclease, found in archaea, bacteria and eukarya as well as chloroplasts and mitochondria. Lineage: Bacteria; Bacillati; Bacillota; Clostridia; Eubacteriales. The record is from RNAcentral.